GUGCUCGAUUCAGCAGCACAUAUGCUAAAGUUGGAAUGAUACAGAGAUUAGCAUGGCCCCUGCAAAGAUGAUAAACAAGCUCAUGAAGCAAUCAUUCCAUUA
This is a small nuclear RNA of Erinaceus europaeus (western European hedgehog), 102 nucleotides long. The record is from Ensembl. NCBI's taxonomy places the organism in Eukaryota, Metazoa, Chordata, Mammalia, Eulipotyphla, Erinaceidae.